GAUACCAAGACUGAGCAUCAGUGUCAUCUGCUUCUAAAGAUUUAGUCAGAUAUUGUAUAGCAAGAUCCUGGUUAGUAAACGAAGAUGACUGUUGAUGGCACAGCCAUCCGAGUUGCUGUAGAACCUUGGCAUGAUUGGGAGUUUCAGCUAAGACACGUUCAUACGCUUCCUUGGCUAAUUUAUACUCUUUUCGUUGCUCGUAUACGUGACCAAUUUGGAAGUAUAUGUCCAAGACGGUUAAAGGCUUAGGGGGAUUAUCAAGGAUGUGACGAAAAAGCUCUAACGAUUGG
Schizosaccharomyces pombe (fission yeast) is the source of this 290-nucleotide non-coding RNA. NCBI's taxonomy places the organism in Eukaryota, Fungi, Ascomycota, Schizosaccharomycetes, Schizosaccharomycetales, Schizosaccharomycetaceae. The record is from the annotation of a GenBank genome assembly.